RNAcentral lists this ribosomal RNA (253 nucleotides) under uncultured bacterium. RNAcentral's name for it is "partial 16S ribosomal RNA". It matches the Rfam family "Bacterial small subunit ribosomal RNA", at positions 524 to 776 of the family's 1533-position model. The record is from RNAcentral.
UACGAAGGGGGCUAGCGUUGCUCGGAAUUACUGGGCGUAAAGCGCACGUAGGCGGAUUCUUAAGUCAGGGGUGAAAUCCCGGAGCUCAACUCCGGAACUGCCUUUGAUACUGAGAGUCUCGAGUCCGGGAGAGGUGAGUGGAACUCCGAGUGUAGAGGUGAAAUUCGUAGAUAUUCGGAAGAACACCAGUGGCGAAGGCGGCUCACUGGCCCGGUACUGACGCUGAGGUGCGAAAGCGUGGGGAGCAAACAGG